GACGAACGCUGGCGGCGUGCUUAACACAUGCAAGUCGAACGGAAAGGCCCUGCUUUUGCGGGGUGCUCGAGUGGCGAACGGGUGAGUAACACGUGAGUAACCUGCCCUUGACUUUGGGAUAACUUCAGGAAACUGGGGCUAAUACCGGAUAGGAGCUCCUGCUGCAUGGUGGGGGUUGGAAAGUUUCGGCGGUUGGGGAUGGACUCGCGGCUUAUCAGCUUGUUGGUGGGGUAGUGGCUUACCAAGGCUUUGACGGGUAGCCGGCCUGAGAGGGUGACCGGCCACAUUGGGACUGAGAUACGGCCCAGACGCCUACGGGAGGCAGCAGUGGGGAAUAUUGCACAAUGGGCGGAAGCCUGAGGCAGCAACGCCGCGUGCGGGAUGACGGCCUUCGGGUUGUAAACCGCUUUCGCCUGUGACGAAGCGUGAGUGACGGUAAUGGGUAAAGAAGCACCGGCUAACUACGUG
RNAcentral lists this ribosomal RNA (468 nucleotides) under uncultured bacterium. Its description in RNAcentral is "partial 16S ribosomal RNA". It matches the Rfam family "Bacterial small subunit ribosomal RNA", at positions 28 to 507 of the family's 1533-position model. The record is from RNAcentral.